AAAGAUACCCAGGUAGUCCACGCAGUAAACGAUGCAGACUAGGCGUGGGGGGACUUGACCCCCUCCGUGCCGGAGCUAACGCGUGAAGUCUGCCGCCUGGGGAGUACGGCCGCAAGGCUAAAACUCAAAGGAAUUGACGGGGGCCCGCGCAAGCGGCGGAGCGUGCGGUUUAAUUCGACGCAACGCGUAGAACCUUACCAGGGUUUGACAUGCACCUGCAGAGCCGUGAAAGCGGUUGGCCUUCGAGGGUGGUGCACAGGUGCUGCAUGGCUGUCGUCAGCUCGUGUCGUGAGAUGUUGGGUUAAGUCCCGCAACGAGCGCAACCCUCGUGGCUAGUUGCCGAUGUUUCUAGCCAGACUGCCGGUAGCAAGCCGGAGGAAGGUGGGGAUGAUGUCAAGUCAGCAUGGCCCUUACAUCCUGGGCUACACGCACGCUACAAUGGCCGGGACAAUGGGCAGCCAAACCGCAAGGUGGAGCGAAUCCCCCAAACCCGGUCUCAGUUCAGAUCGCGGGCUGCAACUCGCCCGCG
Molecule: ribosomal RNA, 529 nt
Filed under: uncultured bacterium
Lineage: Bacteria
Description: bacterial SSU rRNA
Rfam family: Bacterial small subunit ribosomal RNA
Source: RNAcentral